GACGAACGCUGGCGGCGUGCUUAACACAUGCAAGUCGAACGGUAAGGCCCUUCGGGGUACACGAGUGGCGAACGGGUGAGUAACACGUGGGUGAUCUGCCCUGCACUUCGGGAUAAGCCUGGGAAACUGGGUCUAAUACCGGAUAGGACUCCUGGCUGCAUGGUUGGGGGUGGAAAGCUUUUGCGGGGUGGGAUGGGCCCGCGGCCUAUCAGCUUGUUGGUGGGGUAAUGGCCUACCAAGGCGACGACUGGUAGCCGGCCUGAGAGAGUGACCGGUCACACUGGGACUGAGAUACGGCCCAGACUCCUACGGGGGGCAGCAGUGGGGAAUAUUGCACAAUGGGCGCAAGCCUGAUGCAGCGACGCCGCGUGAGGGAUGACGGCCUUCGGGUUGUAAACCUCUUUCAGCUAUGACGAAGCGCAAGUGACGGUAGUAGCAGAAGAAGGACCGGCCAACUACGUGCCAGCAGCCGCCGUAA
This 478-nucleotide ribosomal RNA is filed under the name uncultured bacterium. Its description in RNAcentral is "partial 16S ribosomal RNA". It matches the Rfam family "Bacterial small subunit ribosomal RNA", at positions 28 to 523 of the family's 1533-position model. The record is from RNAcentral.